AUUGAACGCUGGCGGCAGGCCUAACACAUGCAAGUCGAACGGUAACAGGAAGAAGCUUGCUUUUUUGCUGACGAGUGGCGGACGGGUGAGUAAUGUCUGGGAAACUGCCUGAUGGAGGGGGAUAACUACUGGAAACGGUAGCUAAUACCGCAUAACGUCGCAAGACCAAAGAGGGGGACCUUCGGGCCUCUUGCCAUCGGAUGUGCCCAGAUGGGAUUAGCUAGUAGGUGGGGUAACGGCUCACCUAGGCGACGAUCCCUAGCUGGUCUGAGAGGAUGACCAGCCACACUGGAACUGAGACACGGUCCAGACUCCGUCGGGAGGCAGCAGUGGGGAAUAUUGGACAAUGGGCGCAAGCCUGAUGCAGCCAUGCCGCGUGUAUGAAGAAGGCCUUCGGGUUGUAAAGUACUUUCAGCGGGGAGGAAGGGAGUAAAGUUAAUACCUUUGCUCAUUGACGUUACCCGCAGAAGAAGCACCGGCUAACUCCGUG
Molecule: ribosomal RNA, 490 nt
Filed under: uncultured bacterium
Lineage: Bacteria
Description: partial 16S ribosomal RNA
Rfam family: Bacterial small subunit ribosomal RNA
Source: RNAcentral